AAGUUGCUGCAGUUAAAAAGCUCGUAGUUGAAAUUCUGCUCCGGCAGGUAAGUAUCCUUCAGGAUUCGUACCACCGGGCAUCAGUCUGCAAUCUUUUUCACGGCAUUCACUUGUCGGGCUAGGGAGCAAACGUUUUACCUUGAGAAAAUUAAAGUGUUCCAGGCAGGCUUCAGCCCGAAUACAUUAACAUGGAAUAAUAAAAUAGGACUAGAGACUAUUUAUUGGUUUGAGGCUCUAGUAAUGAUUAAUAGGAACAGUCGGGGGCAUUAGUACUUAACAGUCAGAAGUGAAAUUCUAGGAUUUGUUAAAGACUAACUAAUGCGAAAGCAUUUGCCAAGCAUGUUUUCAUUAAUCAAGAACGAAAGUUAGGGGAUCAAAGACGAUUAAAUACCGUCGUAAUCUUAACUAUAAACUACACCGACUCGGAAUUGGGCAAUUUAUUAUAGAUUGCUCACCGCCGUAAGAGAAAUCAAAGUCUUUGGGUUCUUGGUGGAGUACGAUCGCAAGAUUGAAACUUAAAGGAAUUGACGGUUUUGCACCACCAUGGAGUGGAGCCUGCGGCUUAAUUUGACUCAACACGGGAAAACUUAUCAGGGUAAAAAGGUAUUGGGAUUGACAGAUUGAGAGUUCUUUCU
This 635-nucleotide ribosomal RNA is filed under the name uncultured eukaryote. Its description in RNAcentral is "SSU rRNA". It matches the Rfam family "Eukaryotic small subunit ribosomal RNA", at positions 607 to 1262 of the family's 1831-position model. The record is from RNAcentral.